RNAcentral lists this ribosomal RNA (351 nucleotides) under uncultured bacterium. RNAcentral's name for it is "partial 16S ribosomal RNA". It matches the Rfam family "Bacterial small subunit ribosomal RNA", at positions 338 to 686 of the family's 1533-position model. The record is from RNAcentral.
CCUACGGGAGGCUGCAGUGAGGAAUAUUGGUCAAUGGGCGCAAGCCUGAACCAGCCAAGUCGCGUGAAGGAUGAAUGCCCUACGGUUUUUAACCUUCUUUUAUAAAGGAAUAAAGUGAGGCACGUGUGCCUUUUUGUAUGUACUUUAUGAAUAAGGAUCGGCUACCUCCGUGCCAGCAGCCGCGGUAAUACGGAGGAUCCGAGCGUUAUCAGGAUUGAUUGGGUUUAAAGGGAGCGUAGAUGGGUGGUGAAGUCAGUUGUGAAAGUUUGCGGCUCAACCGUAAAAUUGCAAUUGAUACUGGCAGGCUUGAGGACAGUUGAGGUAGGGGGAAGUCGUGGGGUAGCGGUGAAA